This 252-nucleotide ribosomal RNA is filed under the name uncultured bacterium. RNAcentral's name for it is "partial 16S ribosomal RNA". It matches the Rfam family "Bacterial small subunit ribosomal RNA", at positions 524 to 775 of the family's 1533-position model. The record is from RNAcentral.
GACAGAGGGUGCGAACGUUGCUCGGAAUAACUGGGCGUAAAGCGCGUGUAGGUGGCCACGCGAGUCUGGCGUGAAAGCCCAGGGCUCAACCCUGGAAGUGCGCUGGAUACUACGUGGCUAGAGUGCAGGAGAGGCAAGCGGAAUUCCCGGUGUAGAGGUGAAAUUCGUAGAUAUCGGGAGGAACACCAGUGGCGAAGGCGGCUUGCUGGACUGCGACUGACACUGAGACGCGAAAGCGUGGGUAGCAAACAG